UUGAAGAACUAAAGAAUGAAAUGGAAGUGACGAAAAAAAUGGAAGAGAUGCGUCCCUAUUUAUAGAAAAUGGGGAUCGUCAGAUUUGCGCUAAGUGGCAAAAUCUUGUGAGGAGAGAGAAAGUUGAUGUGAAAAGAGUGAUGUUAUGCGACGCGAUAGCGGCACAAAAAAUAGAGGAAGAACCUCUCAACCGGCCGUGACACACUGCCCAUGGCCGCUGAUAACGCUCAAGGGGCAGCAACACACUGCCCGAGGCAGCAGCAUGCCUCCCCAAGUCGGUCGCGCGUUGCAAGUCUAGCAUACAGGCGUGCCGACCUAUCCUGCCCCUCGCAGGCCUACUGCUAAUGGUGCGCG
This 353-nucleotide long non-coding RNA is filed under the name Carica papaya (papaya). RNAcentral's name for it is "long non-coding RNA (CPAP_LNC003896)". The record is from RNAcentral. Lineage: Eukaryota; Viridiplantae; Streptophyta; Magnoliopsida; Brassicales; Caricaceae.